RNAcentral lists this ribosomal RNA (296 nucleotides) under uncultured bacterium. RNAcentral describes it as "partial 16S ribosomal RNA". It matches the Rfam family "Bacterial small subunit ribosomal RNA", at positions 333 to 621 of the family's 1533-position model. The record is from RNAcentral.
GUCCGCCUACGGGGCGCAGCAGUAGGGAAUCUUCCACAAUGGGCGAAAGCCUGAUGGAGCAACGCCGCGUGGGUGAAGAAGGUCUUCGGAUCGUAAAACCCUGUUGUUAGAGAAGAAAGUGCGUGAGAGUAACUGUUCACGUUUCGACGGUAUCUAACCAGAAAGCCACGGCUAACUACGUGCCAGCAGCCGCGGUAAUAUGUAGGUGGCAAGCGUUAUCCGGAUUUAUUGGGCGUAAAGGGAUCGCAGGCGGUCUUUUAAGUCUGAUGUGAAAGGCUUCGGCUUAACCGGAGUAG